Molecule: ribosomal RNA, 253 nt
Filed under: Phocaeicola plebeius DSM 17135
Lineage: Bacteria; Pseudomonadati; Bacteroidota; Bacteroidia; Bacteroidales; Bacteroidaceae
Description: partial 16S ribosomal RNA
Rfam family: Bacterial small subunit ribosomal RNA
Source: RNAcentral
UACGGAGGAUGCGAGCGUUAUCCGGAUUUAUUGGGUUUAAAGGGAGCGCAGACGGGUCGUUAAGUCAGCUGUGAAAGUUUGGGGCUCAACCUUAAAAUCGCAGUUGAUACUGGCGUCCUUGAGUGCGGUUGAGGUGUGUGGAAUUCGUGGUGUAGCGGUGAAAUGCUUAGAUAUCACGAAGAACUCCGAUUGCGAAGGCAGCACACUAAGCCGUAACUGACGUUCAUGCUCGAAAGUGUGGGUAUCAAACAGG